This 617-nucleotide ribosomal RNA is filed under the name uncultured bacterium. RNAcentral describes it as "bacterial SSU rRNA". It matches the Rfam family "Bacterial small subunit ribosomal RNA", at positions 63 to 726 of the family's 1533-position model. The record is from RNAcentral.
CGAGCGCACCCUUCGGGGCGAGCGGCGGACGGGUUAGUAACGCGUGGGAACAUACCCUUUUCUAUGGAAUAGCCUUUGGAAACGAAGAGUAAUACCAUAUACGCCCUUCGGGGGAAAGAUUUAUCGGAGAAGGAUUGGCCCGCGUAAGAUUAGAUAGUUGGUGGGGUAAUGGCCUACCAAGUCUACGAUCUUUAGCUGGUUUUAGAGGAUGAUCAGCAACACUGGGACUGAGACACGGCCCAGACUCCUACGGGAGGCAGCAGUGGGGAAUCUUAGACAAUGGGCGCAAGCCUGAUCUAGCCAUGCCGCGUGUGUGAUGAAGGCCUUAGGGUCGUAAAGCACUUUCGCCAGAGAUGAUAAUGACAGUAUCUGGUAAAGAAACCCCGGCUAACUCCGUGCCAGCAGCCGCGGUAAUACGGAGGGGGUUAGCGUUGUUCGGAAUUACUGGGCGUAAAGCGUACGUAGGCGGAUCAGAAAGUAGGGGGUGAAAUCCCGAGGCUCAACCUCGGAACUGCCUCCUAAACUCCUGGUCUUGAGUUCGAGAGAGGUGAGUGGAAUUCCAAGUGUAGAGGUGAAAUUCGUAGAUAUUUGGAGGAACACCAGUGGCGAAGGCGGCU